CAGCCGCCGCGGUAAUACCGGCGGCCCGAGUGGCGGUCACUAUUAUUGGGCUUAAAGCGUCCGUAGCCGGGUUGGGAAGUCCUCCGGGAAAUCUGGCCGCUUAACGGUCAGAAUGCCGGAGGAUACUCCCAGCCUAGGGAGCGGGAGAGGCCGAGGGGAUUCCCGGGGUAGGGGGGAAAUCCUAUAAUCCCGGGAGGACCACCUGUGGGGAAGGCGCUCGGCUGGAACGCGUCCGACGGUGAGGGACGAAGGCCAGGGGAGCAAACCGGAUUAGAUACCCGGGUAGUCCUGGCUGUAAACGAUGCGGACUUUGUGUCGGACAAGCUAUGAGCUUGUCCGGUGCCGGAGGGAAACCGUUAAGUCCGCCGCCUGGGGAGUACGGCCGCAAGGCUGAAACUUAAAGGAAUUGGCGGG
Molecule: ribosomal RNA, 414 nt
Filed under: uncultured microorganism
Description: bacterial SSU rRNA
Rfam family: Archaeal small subunit ribosomal RNA
Source: RNAcentral